GACAGCCAGUCGCUGUGGCAACGGCGCAACCUCCGGGGACCACGCGCUCUCCUGCAGCCGGUGCGGAAAUCUGUGGCGCUGCGCUUCAGUUGCUCAGACAGCAGGGCUAUCACAGCAGCUGGGGAUUGCUGGAGUGAGGGUGACCUGGAUUUACCUUUUCCUGCAUAAUUCCUCAGCUGCAAAAUUUAUUUACAGGGACAAGAAUGCAACUCUGAAGGCAACAAAAGGGAAGAUAAAAGGUUUCAAAGAACUGAAAACCGCGCAUGCAUCCUCAUACACAU
RNAcentral lists this long non-coding RNA (281 nucleotides) under Struthio camelus australis. RNAcentral's name for it is "lncRNA (ENSSCUG00000007943.1)". The record is from RNAcentral. Lineage: Eukaryota; Metazoa; Chordata; Aves; Struthioniformes; Struthionidae.